Synchiropus splendidus (mandarinfish) is the source of this 242-nucleotide long non-coding RNA. RefSeq lists it as uncharacterized. Lineage: Eukaryota; Metazoa; Chordata; Actinopteri; Syngnathiformes; Callionymidae. The transcript is spliced from 4 exons. The record is from RefSeq and is a predicted model, not a curated record.
CGAGAGUGAGCCGUCAAACCUUCUUCAAUAGCGUGCCGUGAAGUUGAUGGACUCAGCCAAGUGACACAUGAAAAGAAUCUUGAGAUAGUUUCAAGUUGCUGGAAGUCACAUAACCCUGCUGCUGGUAAAUCUCUUUCUCAACACAGAACAAUGAGGACAGUGCUUCUUCUGCUGCUGUUGCUGCUGAGCUCAGUCAGCUCUCAGGAAACACUGGAAAAGCGUGAUGAUCCAAUGAAAUCCAA